ACAGAGGGCGCAAGCGUUAAUCGGAAUUACUGGGCGUAAAGGGCGCGUAGGCGGAGUAUUAAGUUAGAUGUGAAAUCCCUGGGCUUAACCUGGGAAUGGCAUUUAAUACUGAUAAUCUAGAGUAGAGUAGAGGGAAGUGGAAUUUCCGGUGUAGCGGUGAAAUGCGUAGAGAUCGGAAAGAACACCAGUGGCGAAGGCGGCUUCCUGGACUCAUACUGACGCUGAGGCGCGAAAGCGUGGGGAGCAAACA
RNAcentral lists this ribosomal RNA (250 nucleotides) under uncultured bacterium. Its description in RNAcentral is "partial 16S ribosomal RNA". It matches the Rfam family "Bacterial small subunit ribosomal RNA", at positions 525 to 774 of the family's 1533-position model. The record is from RNAcentral.